RNAcentral lists this small RNA (631 nucleotides) under Histoplasma capsulatum. Its description in RNAcentral is "hypothetical RNA". RNAcentral also lists the same sequence under 1 other name. The record is from RNAcentral. Lineage: Eukaryota; Fungi; Ascomycota; Eurotiomycetes; Onygenales; Ajellomycetaceae.
UGGCGCAGGGAUGUGCCGUCCAAAAUCCAUUCCCAUUCGCUUUGAGAUACGUCUCUCGUGUUUUCGCCCUAUGGAAGCUUUUGCCCUAAAUUUAACUUUAGGCGUCGAAGCCAAGCCCCUGCAUUGGCCCUAAGUCAAAUAAUAACGUUCUCCAACGUUCUUCGGUCUUGCUGAUGCGAACCAAGGGUAUUGACAAGGGCCUCCGGUAGGGGUCAACAGGGACUCCUCAACAUACGCAGCAUGCCGGUCGGUUAUCCAUACCAGAACGAGGUCGACAAGCGAAGUAGACUCAAUCUCCUUGACGUGCUAGAUGAUGGUGCAGGGCAUCGGCGUGCAAGGCGAGGAAGAGCACACUGAAUGAAAUAAGCAAACAAAAAGAGAAAGGAGAAAAGAAAAUAUCUGAUAUCGUAGCGCUUUGCGGUGUAACUGUUGAGCCGGUCCCCUUUUUCCAACAUUUUGAUCUGCGUUUCGCAAUUUUGAUACUAUAUCUGCGGGGUACAUCAACGAGGGAACGGGAAGGAUGAAGCGGCCCGCCCGUUUACUGGCUAGAAACUCUGUGAAAACUAAACUGCGAAAACUGAAAUCCAAGCUUGGAAGAAUUUGCUGCAGCUUCACGCGGAAUUGUUGCCAG